Molecule: ribosomal RNA, 225 nt
Filed under: uncultured Thorsellia sp.
Lineage: Bacteria; Pseudomonadati; Pseudomonadota; Gammaproteobacteria; Enterobacterales; Thorselliaceae
Description: partial 16S ribosomal RNA
Rfam family: Bacterial small subunit ribosomal RNA
Source: RNAcentral
UGCGCAGGCGGCCUGAUAAGUCAGAUGUGAAAUCCCCGAGCUCAACUUGGGAACUGCGUUUGAAACUAUGUAGCUAGAGUUCUGUAGAGGGGGGUAGAAUUCCAGGUGUAGCGGUGAAAUGCGUAGAGAUCUGGAGGAAUACCGAUUGCGAAGGCAGCCCCCUGGACAGUGACUGACGCUCAUAUGCGAAAGCGUGGGGAUCAAACAGGAUUAGAUACCCUUGUA